Molecule: ribosomal RNA, 683 nt
Filed under: uncultured Bacteroidales bacterium
Lineage: Bacteria; Pseudomonadati; Bacteroidota; Bacteroidia; Bacteroidales
Description: bacterial SSU rRNA
Rfam family: Bacterial small subunit ribosomal RNA
Source: RNAcentral
GGAAGAAAGCUUGCUUUCUUUGCCGGCGACCGGCGCAGCGGGUGAGUAACACGUAUCCAACCUGCCCUUUACUCGGGGAUAGCCUUUCGAAAGAAAGAUUAAUACCCGAUAGCAUAAUGAUUCCGCAUGGUUUCAUUAUUAAAGGAUUCCGGUAAAGGAUGGGGAUGCGUUCCAUUAGGUUGUUGGUGAGGUAACGGCUCACCAAGCCUUCGAUGGAUAGGGGUUCUGAGAGGAAGGUCCCCCACAUUGGAACUGAGACACGGUCCAAACUCCUACGGGAGGCAGCAGUGAGGAAUAUUGGUCAAUGGGCGCUAGCCUGAACCAGCCAAGUAGCGUGAAGGAUGAAGGCUCUAUGGGUCGUAAACUUCUUUUAUAUAAGAAUAAAGUGCAGUAUGUAUACUGUUUUGUAUGUAUUAUAUGAAUAAGGAUCGGCUAACUCCGUGCCAGCAGCCGCGGUAAUACGGAGGAUCCGAGCGUUAUCCGGAUUUAUUGGGUUUAAAGGGAGCGUAGGUGGACUGGUAAGUCAGUUGUGAAAGUUUGCGGCUCAACCGUAAAAUUGCAGUUGAUACUGUCAGUCUUGAGUACAGUAGAGGUGGGCGGAAUUCGUGGUGUAGCGGUGAAAUGCUUAGAUAUCACGAAGAACUCCGAUUGCGAAGGCAGCUCACUGGACUGCAACUGACACU